RNAcentral lists this unclassified non-coding RNA (289 nucleotides) under Hevea brasiliensis (rubber tree). The record is from RNAcentral. Lineage: Eukaryota; Viridiplantae; Streptophyta; Magnoliopsida; Malpighiales; Euphorbiaceae.
GUUUUAUUCUCAUCAUCUUCAAUGAUCCCCUCCAGAAAUAAAUAUUGAAGAGCUAUGGAGUAUUUGGCAGUCCUUGUCCUCUCAGAGUUCCCACUUCCCAAAUUACUGUUUUUUCUUAGAAGAAAUGAUCCCUUGCCAUCACCUUUGAUGGUGAAAAUGGAUGAAACCCAUCUUUUAUAGAUGAAGAGCGACCUUGGGGAGUCUCCAUGGUGGGUAUCAGAAAGCAAAAGCUUGCAGUGACCUUGCUCAUUCGCAUGCGUUACUGCAUUGUGGCACAAAGCAAGAAUCC